This 283-nucleotide ribosomal RNA is filed under the name uncultured bacterium. RNAcentral describes it as "partial 16S ribosomal RNA". It matches the Rfam family "Bacterial small subunit ribosomal RNA", at positions 334 to 632 of the family's 1533-position model. The record is from RNAcentral.
UUGUCCUACGGGGGGCAGCAGUGGGGAAUAUUGGGCAAUGGGCGCAAGCCUGACCCAGCAACGCCGCGUGAAGGAAGAAGGCCCUCGGGUUGUAAACUUCUUUUAUCAGGGACGAAGAAGUGACGGUACCUGAUGAAUAAGCCACGGCUAACUACGUGCCAGCAGCCACGGUAAUACGUAGGUGGCAAGCGUUAUCCGGAUUUACUGGGUGUAAAGGGCGUGUAGGCGGGGAAGCAAGUCAGAUGUGAAAUUCCAGGGCUCAACCCUGGAACUGCAUUUGAAA